GAUUGUGAGUGGAUAUCUGUAGUAAUUCUAGAGCUAAUACAUGCACGCAAGCACCGAUCUUCGUGAGAAGUGCGCUUUUAUUAGAACAAGACCGGCGGCGCGGAGUGACUACCGUUAGCCCCGUCGUGUUGACUCUGGAUAACUCAGCCGAUCGCACGGCCCUGGCAGCCGGCGACGCUUCUUUCAAAUGUCUGACCCAUCAGCUAGUUGGCCGGGUAGGGGCCGGCAAAGGAGGUGACGGGUAACAGAGAAUCAGGGUUCGAUUCUGGAGAGGGAGCCUGAGAAACGGCUGCCACGUCCAAGGAAGGCAGCAGGCGCGCAAAUUACCCACUCCCGGCUUGGGGAGGUAGUGACGAAAAAUAACGAUAGACGACUCCAUUGAGGCUGUCUAAUCGGAAUGAGUACAGUCUAAAGCCUUGACACGAGGAGCUAGUAGAGGGCAAGUCUGGUGCCAGCAGCCGCGGUAACUCCAGCUCUACAGGCGUAAACGUGAGUUGUUGUAGUUAAAACGCUCGUCGUUGGAUCUGAACCUAGGCCGCGGCCGGUACGGGGUCAGAGUUACUCCCGCUAUCGCUGCGGUCGGUCCCGUGCGAGUUGCACCACAUGCGGAUCCCCUUGGCUGGGCGUCCGCGAGCUCGUAUACGUUACCUUGAACAAAUGAGGGUGUUCAUGGCAGGCUAGCACACGCCUGAAUAGUCUAGCAUGGAAUAACAGAAUUUGACUCCGGUCUUUUUCUGGCUGGUCUCUAGGACUCGGAGGGAUGAUCAAUAAGGACGACCGGAGGCGAUAGUACUCCUGCGUUAGAGGUGAAAUUCUUGGAUCGCAGGAUGACUAACCGCAGCGAAAGCAUUCGCCUAGCACGUCCUCAUUAAUCAAGAACGAAAGUUAGAGGAUCGAAGACGAUCAGAUACCGUCCUAGUUCUGACCAUAAACGAUGCCAACAGGCGAUCGGUCGUAAGUACUAAAUUGCAAACCCUUAUAUAUGACACGGCCGGCAGCCCUCGGGAAACCAAAGUCUUUGGGUUCCGGGGGUAGUAUGGUUGCAAAGCUGAAACUUAAAGGAAUUGACGGAAGGGCACCACCAGGAGUGGAGCUUGCGGCUUAAUUUGACUCAACACGGGGAACCUCACCUGGGCCGGACACUGCAAGGAUUGACAGAUUGAGAGCUCUUCUUGAUUCGGUGGG
RNAcentral lists this ribosomal RNA (1185 nucleotides) under Eurysyllis sp. B PAC-2017. RNAcentral describes it as "bacterial SSU rRNA". It matches the Rfam family "Eukaryotic small subunit ribosomal RNA", at positions 131 to 1274 of the family's 1831-position model. Lineage: Eukaryota; Metazoa; Annelida; Polychaeta; Phyllodocida; Syllidae. The record is from RNAcentral.